CCUACGCGAGGCAGCAGUGGGGAAUAUUGGGCAAUGGGCGGAACCCUGAUCCAGCGACGCCGCGUGAGUGAAGAAGUAUUUCGGUAUGUAAACCUCUAUCAUCAGGGAAGAAAGAAAUGACGGUACCUCACUAAUAAGCCCCGGCUAACUACGUGCCAGCAGCCGCGGUAAUACGUAGGGGGCAAGCGUUAUCCGGAUUUACUGGGUGUAAAGGGAGCGUAGACGGCAAAGCAAGUCUGAAGUGAAAGCCGGGGGCCCAACCCCCGGACUGCUUUGGAAACUGUAUGGCUGGAGUGCAGGAGAGGUAAUUGGAAUUCCGAGUGUAGCGGGGAAAUGCGUAGAUAUAAGGAGGAACACCAGUGGCGAAGGCGGCUUACUGGACUGUAACUGACGCUGAGGCUCGAAAGCGUGGGGAGCAAACAGGAUUAGAUACCCGAGUAGUC
Molecule: ribosomal RNA, 443 nt
Filed under: uncultured bacterium
Lineage: Bacteria
Description: partial 16S ribosomal RNA
Rfam family: Bacterial small subunit ribosomal RNA
Source: RNAcentral